UUCUACCGAUAAUGGACAAAGAGACAGUUUGUUGGUGUUGUUCUUAUAUCAGUCAGGGGCAGAGCAGAUAGCAGUCCUUUGUUCAUCCUCGCUUGAUGCCUGGCUUGGAGGCCAGAGCUGUUUUAUGUCUAGGACACAUAA
Molecule: small nucleolar RNA, 141 nt
Organism: Acomys russatus (golden spiny mouse)
Lineage: Eukaryota; Metazoa; Chordata; Mammalia; Rodentia; Muridae
Product: small nucleolar RNA SNORA48
Exons: 1
Source: RefSeq, a predicted model, not a curated record